This 213-nucleotide ribosomal RNA is filed under the name uncultured bacterium. RNAcentral describes it as "partial 16S ribosomal RNA". It matches the Rfam family "Bacterial small subunit ribosomal RNA", at positions 524 to 736 of the family's 1533-position model. The record is from RNAcentral.
UACGUAGGGGGCUAGCGUUGUCCGGAAUCAUUGGGCGUAAAGAGCGUGUAGGCGGCCCGGUAAGUCCGCUGUAAAAGUCAAAGGCUCAACCUUUGAAUGUCAGUGGAUACUGCCGGGCUAGAGUCCGGAAGAGGCGAGUGGAACUCCUGGUGUAGCGGUGGAAUGCGCAGAUAUCAGGAAGAACACCCAGUGGCGAAGGCGGGCUCUGGUCGG